RNAcentral lists this unclassified non-coding RNA (1570 nucleotides) under Hevea brasiliensis (rubber tree). Lineage: Eukaryota; Viridiplantae; Streptophyta; Magnoliopsida; Malpighiales; Euphorbiaceae. The record is from RNAcentral.
AGUAGUACAUCAAAAAGUGCAUAAACAACAUCUCACUUGUUAUGACAUUCCAAAUGAAAUUCCUUGCCAUUAACAUCUGAUUCUUAAAGUUCCUAUUUUCUUAAAGCCAUUAAUUAAUCUACGGUGGCAUCACCCUAGAUAGCACAGAAAAGGAAACACUGAUAUGCGGAAAUGCAGAAACAGACAUGGGGAAAUGUGAUUUCUCAAACAUAUAGGAAACAGAAACAUGGGGAAAAUGUGUCAAUAUUAAAAUAUAGGGAUACAAUCAUAAAUUUUUUUAUAUAAAAUUUUUUUAAAAAUCAUAUAUUCAAGUAAGUUUUAUCAUUAAUUACACAAAUAUCAUUAAAUCAAUUAAUCAGAAAUCUUUUGUUGAAAAAAAAAACAGCAAUAAUCCUUUAAAAAGAGGGGAAAAUACAAAUACCAAACUGAUCAAAAGUAGAAAGUAGGAAAAAGAAAUAACAGAAAUCAGUUAUAGAUAAAAAACAAAAUCUCAUUGCAUUCAGCAGGGUUUGGGGUUGGGAAUUGGGAUCGACCAGAUGAUGCCAAUGCAAAAAUGCAUUUUCAUUUUUUCACAAAUCUCAAAAACGGCCUAGGAAUGUGUCAUAUGUGUCUGACAGUUUCCAUUUAGGAAAUGUAUCAGAAGCAUUGAAAAGCUGCUCCAGAUGUGUUUCUGUGCUUCAGAGGUACAUAGUGCGCUGGCAGUUGCAAUGAUUUUGAGCAACACUGUACAGAUUUUGACCAGAGGUUUCAGCAUCUCUUUUUUCAGAGGAAUGAACUGAUACAAUUACUUUAUUUUCUUUCUAAACUGUUGGAUAAAAAUGAAGUGGCAAUUCUUUCUGAGAUUGGAGGAUCUUAGGUGCUGUUUGGAGUGUCCUUGUUGAGUUAUCUUAUUUGAUCAAGCCUAAACUAGUAUCUCUUCAGUAAGGCUCCAUUUGGAUAUGUGUGCAUUUGAAAUGAAUGAGAAUUUGGAUUUGUGUUUCAAGUGAAAAAUUGUAAAAUUUCAACAUAAUGUAAAAUUCAAAUAUCAUUUGAAAUUCACGUGUAUAAAAUGGACCCUAAUAUUAUUUGAUAUUUUAUAUGAGGAUUUAUCAUUUUUGCCAUUUGUAAUCUGGGUCAUGCAACUCAAUGGUGUUAUCAACGCUUGUAUGGUUUGGCUCCAGUGAUAAAAGGUUGGAUGUGCUUUUGCUAGAUACUAUGUUCUUAUUCUACCAAUGAGGAUAAGAAGGCUCACAUUUCAGGACAAUAAAUUUGCUUGCUUUCUUAUUAAAUGAUAUAAAUAACUUGAGAUGUAUGCGACACACAUUGCAUUUAACAUGUCUUUUGAUAUUGGGCUUACAUAUUCUGCUACACUAUUCUUAUUUGAUUCAAUAUGUGGCAUUGUGUUGCAUGCACCUAUAUUAGUUUUGUUACAAGCAGUGAAGAAAUUAGAUAUUUAUAAUUAUAAAUUCUGAAUGUCAUCUUGUGAGGUUUCUCUGAGAAGGACAGUGUCUGUUGCAUCAGCUGUAUUUUUUACCUGUUUUCUUUUGGUUACAAAGAAAACUUAUACUUGCCAAAUCUAAGCUGCUUUAAU